RNAcentral lists this long non-coding RNA (2273 nucleotides) under Equus caballus (horse). Its description in RNAcentral is "lncRNA (ENSECAG00000054659.1)". Lineage: Eukaryota; Metazoa; Chordata; Mammalia; Perissodactyla; Equidae. The record is from RNAcentral.
UGGAGGCGCAUGGCUUGCAGGAAAGGGGCACCUGGGUUGAGACCUGAAGGCGGAACAGGCAGGCGGAGAUGGGGGAAGGACACUCCCUGUGAAGGGUAGGAGGUACGAAGAUUUUCACCGUGCUGAAGGGUUGAAGGAACAGCUGAUGAACAAUGCGUCUCCACCUCGAUCCAGCCAUCGUGAACAUGUCCCCUCAUUUGCUUUCUCCUGACGGGUAGAUAGCAACAGGUAGAUUUCCUUUUUCUGAACCGUUUGACAGUGUGUUGCAGACACGACGACGCUUUGUCCCUGAGUCCCUCAGCUGCAUCUCCCGAAUAAGGACGUUUUCCUCCUGAACCACAAGACCAGUAUCACACUGGAAAGUCAGCAGGAACGGCAUCUGCUGUCUGGUCUGCGUUCGGAUUCCCGCGGUUAUUCCCAGGCUGUCUUUUAUGGUUGGGUUUUGUUUGUUUUGAAAGCGAGGGACCAUCAAGUUUCCAGCGUUGCAUUUGGUUUCGUCUCUCUGGUCUCCAAGAAAGAUUCUGGAGGUGGAAUGCACAGCGCUCGGCUUAUCUGCCCCCAGCAUCCUGCCCGUCCUGUUCCUCGUGGGCCCUCGAGAGAUCGCCGUGGGUGAAUAGAUGAAGCCGGGCGUGGGCCAUCCGGACCCUGCUUGGCCCGGCUCCCAGGAGCCUGCAGGGCGGGCUGGGUCGCAGUCAGGCAUCCAGCUGGGCCCGGAGGAAGGAAUUACUCCAAGUGGUGUCCUUGGGACCUUUCCUGCGGCACUAAGAGCAUCGGGCAAACCCUGUCGCUGACGCUGGCCUUGCCACCUUGUUGGGCAGCCGGGCAUCAAUCGCUCCACAAAUGGUGACUGAUCACCUGCUCUGAGCUAGAGAUCAAGACAGACAGACAGAGGGACAGACUGCUGCCCUGGCCCUGCCCCCAGCCAAGGGUGAUGAUCCUGCUCCCUGGCCCCAGAGCAGAUUCUCCCGGGCCCUCCCCGAGGGCCCCUCCCCCAUACCUGCUGUAACCUGCUCUGGGCUCUGGCGUGGGAAAGGGCCAGCAGCGCCAAGGGCCCUCCGCAGCUUCCACACUGUGGAAACUCAUGGGGGGCCCCCGCCAAGAGAUGCACGUUCUCAUUCCGCCUAAUAUAGAAAGGCCAAACCAGCAAGCACGGUGACCCGUCAUAAGCAGCCGGCCCCCCCCCGCCAGCGCACAUCUGCAGAACCCGGGACCAGGAGCCCCGCCUGCUUCUCCUGGAGGACCAGUUCUUGGAAGCCCCUCGCGGCGGCACCUCCUGCUCAACCGUGUGUGUCGUCUGUGUUCCAGUCACAGUGGCCUCCGGAUGAGGGGUCAGCUUGUUUCGACAUGACACGGGCCCUCACUUCUCCCAGGAGUUCAGAAAACGCCUUUUUACAGCCCUGCUUCUCCGAGCUGCUCCUCGCGCGCUGCCCCGGGCCUUCCUCCGCCUGCACAGACCCUGCUGCGCCCGGCCUGGCUCGAGGGAAGAGUUCCUCAGAGCUAAAUAUUUCAACCCAAAUUGGAAAAAAAAAAAAAAUCCCCACCCCCCCAUUGCCCAAGAAACAGGGCUCAUUUCCCCUUCUGUGUUCUUUCUGAGUCACAGGCAGCGGGUUCCGAGAACGACGGGCUGGAGGGGACAGCGACAGUGUUCUCCAUCGGUCCUGGCCAAGCUGUGAGCCGCCGUUUCGUCGUCUCGCGGCCAGGAAGAGUGUGGCAGGAGUGAGCGUCCGAGCGCCAGGCAUCAGUGGAAGCCAGGAGCGAAUGAGGACGGAGUGAGUCAGCCCUGGCGGGGGCAGGGUCAAGAGCAGGCACCAACAACACGCCACAGCCACAGACAAGACCGACUGGUUCCGUGGUGGCUGGUUCUGUCCCACGCGCUUCCGUCGCAGUUCCUGAAAUGUCAGCCUUAUCCCUCAACUCCACAUGACAGCCAUUCCUGUCCUUGCUUUGACUUGACCCGUGCAUGCCUUCCAACCCACAGCCUCCCCAUGUUCAUUGUUCAGUUUAAUUUUCUAAAGAGAGUGAGAACACUUUUCCCUUUUCCUUGGUUUCUUGACUGAUUUUUCUCGCUACUUGGGGAUGGGUAAAAUAUCACCUUCCUGAGAAAGGGCGGGAAGGAAUUCUUGCCCAGAGACACGAUGCGCAGUGUCUUGCUUUGGGGCCUUAAGUUGGCUGUCACAGCUCCCAGCCACACGUCCUCAAGGGCGGGGAGCAAAUAGGAAGAAAAGGGCGGAAGCCACAGGCUUUUCUCCCCACACUGCUCUCUCUUUUAUCAG